CUGACGUUGUUUGGUUAAAUGUACUAAAAUUGGAAUGAUAGAGAUCAGUAGUAUGGUCCCUAUACAAGAUGGCAUAUAAAUAGGUGAAGUGCUCCAUAUUUUU
Chiloscyllium plagiosum (whitespotted bambooshark) is the source of this 103-nucleotide small nuclear RNA. Lineage: Eukaryota; Metazoa; Chordata; Chondrichthyes; Orectolobiformes; Hemiscylliidae. The record is from RefSeq and is a predicted model, not a curated record.